Molecule: ribosomal RNA, 496 nt
Filed under: uncultured bacterium
Lineage: Bacteria
Description: partial 16S ribosomal RNA
Rfam family: Bacterial small subunit ribosomal RNA
Source: RNAcentral
GAUGAACGCUGGCGGCGUGCCUAAUACAUGCAAGUCGAGCGAACAGACGAGGAGCUUGCUCCUCUGACGUUAGCGGCGGACGGGUGAGUAACACGUGGAUAACCUACCUAUAAGACUGGGAUAACUUCGGGAACCGGAGCUAAUACCGGAUAAUAUAUUGAACCGCAUGGUUUAAUAGUGAAAGACGGUUUUGCUGUCACUUAUAGAUGGAUCCGCGCCGCAUUAGCUAGUUGGUAAGGUAACGGCUUACCAAGGCAACGAUGCGUAGCCGACCUGAGAGGGUGAUCGGCCACACUGGAACUGAGACACGGUCCAGACUCCUACGGGAGGCAGCAGUAGGGAAUCUUCCGCAAUGGGCGAAAGCCUGACGGAGCAACGCCGCGUGAGUGAUGAAGGUCUUCGGAUCGUAAAACUCUGUUAUUAGGGAAGAACAAAUGUGUAAGUAACUAUGCACGUCUUGACGGUACCUAAUCAGAAAGCCACGGCUAACUACGUG